Diabrotica virgifera virgifera (western corn rootworm) is the source of this 1207-nucleotide RNA transcript. RefSeq lists it as uncharacterized. The record is from RefSeq and is a predicted model, not a curated record. Lineage: Eukaryota; Metazoa; Arthropoda; Insecta; Coleoptera; Chrysomelidae. The transcript is spliced from 2 exons.
AAAUAUCUUUCACAUACCACCAGAUUGACAACAGGUGGAAUACUUUCUUUGGUUACACCUCUUGAGAUUUUCAAAAUUUAUAAAUCAUACAGGAUGCCCAGGAAAUUAAGAUGAGAGAAUUUCCUCAGCGUGGUAAAAGUUCCAACAAGAAAGAUUCCUUAAUAUUCCUGCAAAAAAAUAAAUGAUUUAAAAAUAUAUAAACAUUUUCAAUUUCUUUGCAACACGAAAAUGCAGCAGCUGCAUAAUGCUCUGGUUAAAUCGGAGAGUGCAGGAAGAGUCUAUACCGGUUUCGGAGGUCUUUUUCCCCUUAUCAGUAGUCCCAUAUCCUCUUCUCUCUGAUUUCCCCAGGCAUCACACUUUGGGCCUUUCCGUAUUGCAAAGAAAGAAAUGUCACGGAUGAACUAGAGCCAUCUACCGAAAAACAAAGUAAGUUAUCAAUCGAAGUAGCACAGAAAACGACAAUAAAUAUCUGACCAUACCACCAGAUUGACAACAGGUGGAAUACUUUCUUUGGUUACACCUUCUGAGAAUUUCAAAAUUUAUAGAUCAUACAGGAUGCCGAGGAAAUUAAGAUGAGAGAAUUUUAAAUAAUUCACAACUCAUCUGCUCAUCUGCCGUUGUAGAAGCAUUAAGGAAUCUUUCUUGUUGGAACUUUUACCACGCUGUCUAUAAUAUAUAUAUUAGGUAUAUACCCAAACAGCACAGUACGUUUUAAGUACGUACAAUUUUGGUACUGUACGUACAUGAUGUAAAAUGUACGUUUUAAGUACGUACACUGGUGUACAUACCAGUACGUACAGAAGAGUACGUACUAAGUACGUACUAUUACGUCCAAGUAUGUACCAUGAGAAAGAAGAGCUAAGGCAUAUUUAUUAUGUCAGGUUAUGUUAACCUAACCUAAUUUAUUUGGUUAGGAAGGAACUUUCCUUCCACCUCGAGUACAGUUUUGAUGUGAUAAUUCAUUGCAAGACAGUUUCAUUUAGAUUUUUUUUACUUAUUUUUGGUGUUGGAGCUUAGUGUGGUUUCCUGUUAUCUUAUUGAGAAGCUGCAAUAAAAAGUGAAAAAUGUAGUGAUAAGAAGGUGGCGGAGCAAGAAAUUGGACGAUGGUUGAGGAGAGCCGGGGAUCGCUUAAAAACUUUCAAGGAAUAGGAAUCAGAAUAAAAAUUGAAUUUAUUUAUUUUUUAAAUAAUAAAGAUAUACUCACCUA